CUUUCCCUCUGGCGGCAGGCCUAACACAUGCAAGUCGAGCGGAUGAAGGGAGCUUGCUCCUGGAUUCAGCGUCGGACGGGUGAGUAAUGCCUAGGAAUCUGCCUGGUAGUGAGGGAUAACGUCCGGAAACGGGCGCUAAUACCGCAUACGUCCUGAGGGAGAAAGUGGGGGAUCUUCGGACCUCACGCUAUCAGAUGAGCCUAGGUCGGAUUAGCUAGUUGGUGGGGUAAAGGCCUACCAAGGCGACGAUCCGUAACUGGUCUGAGAGGAUGAUCAGUCACACUGGAACUGAGACACGGUCAAGACUCCUACGGGAGGCAGCAGUGGGGAAUAUUGGACAGUGGGCGAAAGCCUGAUCCAGCCAUGCCGCGUGUGUGAAGAAGGUCUUCGGAUUGUAAAGCACUUUAAGUUGGGAGGAAGGGCAGUAAGUUAAUACCUUGCUGUUUUGACGUUACCAACAGAAUAAGCACCGGCUAAGUUCGUG
This 484-nucleotide ribosomal RNA is filed under the name uncultured bacterium. RNAcentral describes it as "partial 16S ribosomal RNA". It matches the Rfam family "Bacterial small subunit ribosomal RNA", at positions 36 to 507 of the family's 1533-position model. The record is from RNAcentral.